GCCAGGCAUGGUGGCGCAUGCCUAUAAUCCCAGUAAUUUAGGAGGCUGAGGCAGGAGGAUUGAAAGUUGAGGUCCCAAUUCAGCUUAGUGAGGUCCUAAGCAACUUAGUUUGAGACCCUAUCUCUA
This 126-nucleotide small RNA is filed under the name Marmota monax (woodchuck). The record is from RNAcentral. Lineage: Eukaryota; Metazoa; Chordata; Mammalia; Rodentia; Sciuridae.